CAGCAGCCACGGUAAUACGGAGGGGGCUAGCGUUGUUCGGAAUUACUGGGCGUAAAGCGCACGUAGGCGGCUUGGUAAGUUAGAGGUGAAAGCCCAGGGCUCAACCCUGGAAUUGCCUUUAAGACUGCCGAGCUAGUAGGUGAGAGAGGUAAGUGGAAUUCCGAGUGUAGAGGUGAAAUUCGUAGAUAUUCGGAAGAACACCAGUGGCGAAGGCGGCUUACUGGCUCAUUCUAGACGCUGAGGUGCGAAAGCGUGGGGAGCAAACAGGAUUAGAUACCCGCGUAGUCCCUGUCUCUUAUAC
RNAcentral lists this ribosomal RNA (301 nucleotides) under uncultured bacterium. RNAcentral describes it as "partial 16S ribosomal RNA". It matches the Rfam family "Bacterial small subunit ribosomal RNA", at positions 509 to 807 of the family's 1533-position model. The record is from RNAcentral.